Molecule: ribosomal RNA, 519 nt
Filed under: Carcinoscorpius rotundicauda (Southeast Asian horseshoe crab)
Lineage: Eukaryota; Metazoa; Arthropoda; Merostomata; Xiphosura; Limulidae
Description: partial large subunit ribosomal RNA
Rfam family: Bacterial large subunit ribosomal RNA
Source: RNAcentral
UUCGCCUGUUUUUCAAAAACAUGGUUUUUUGUUGGAAUAAAAAAUCUAAUCUGCCCAAUGAUUAAGAAUUGAAUGGCCGCGGUAUAUUGACCGUGCGAAGGUAGCAUAAUCAUUUGCUUUUUAAUUGGAGGCUGGAAUGAAUGAUUUGACGGAAAAGGUCUGUCUUAAUUUUAAGUUUUUAAGUUUACUUUUUAGUGAGAAGGCUAAAAUGUUAUCAAGGGACGAGAAGACCCUAUUAAGCUUUAUUUUUAUUAUUUUUUUGUUUUAUGUUUUCAUAUACAAAAAAUAGUGAAAAUUUUACUGGGGCGGUAGAGAAAGAGAAAGAUCUUUUUUUAAAAAUUAAAACAUUUAUGUUAAUUUUUGAUCCAUUAUUAAUGAUAAAAAGAAGAAGUUACUAUAGGGAUAACAGCGUAAUUUUUUCGGAGAGUUCAUAUCGGCGAAGAAGUUUGCGACCUCGAUGUUGAAUUAAAGAGUCAGUAAGGCGAAGAAGUUUUAUAUGAGGGUCGUCGACCUUUUUUC